RNAcentral lists this ribosomal RNA (940 nucleotides) under uncultured bacterium. RNAcentral describes it as "bacterial SSU rRNA". It matches the Rfam family "Bacterial small subunit ribosomal RNA", at positions 334 to 1265 of the family's 1533-position model. The record is from RNAcentral.
UACUCCUACGGGAGGCAGCAGUGGGGAAUAUUGGACAAUGGGCGCAAGCCUGAUCCAGCCAUACCGCGUGGGUGAAGAAGGCCUUCGGGUUGUAAAGCCCUUUUGUUGGGAAAGAAAAGCAUUCGGUUAAUACCCGGGUGUUCUGACGGUACCCAAAGAAUAAGCACCGGCUAACUUCGUGCCAGCAGCCGCGGUAAUACGAAGGGUGCAAGCGUUACUCGGAAUUACUGGGCGUAAAGCGUGCGUAGGUGGUGGUUUAAGUCCGUUGUGAAAGCCCUGGGCUCAACCUGGGAAUUGCAGUGGAUACUGGAUCACUAGAGUGUGGUAGAGGAUAGUGGAAUUUCCGGUGUAGCAGUGAAAUGCGUAGAGAUCGGAAGGAACACCUGUGGCGAAGGCGACUAUCUGGGCCAACACUGACACUGAGGCACGAAAGCGUGGGGAGCAAACAGGAUUAGAUACCCUGGUAGUCCACGCCCUAAACGAUGCGAACUGGAUGUUGGGUUCAACUUGGAACCCAGUAUCGAAGCUAACGCGUUAAGUUCGCCGCCUGGGGAGUACGGUCGCAAGACUGAAACUCAAAGGAAUUGACGGGGGCCCGCACAAGCGGUGGAGUAUGUGGUUUAAUUCGAUGCAACGCGAAGAACCUUACCUGGUCUUGACAUCCACGGAACUUUCCAGAGAUGGAUUGGUGCCUUCGGGAACCGUGAGACAGGUGCUGCAUGGCUGUCGUCAGCUCGUGUCGUGAGAUGUUGGGUUAAGCCCCGCAACGAGCGCAACCCUUGUCCUUAGUUGCCAGCACGUAAAGGUGGGAACUCUAAGGAGACCGCCGGUGACAAACCGGAGGAAGGNGGGGAUGACGUCAAGUCAUCAUGGCCCUUACGACCAGGGCUACACACGUACUACAAUGGUCAGGACAGAGGGCUGCAAGCCGGNGANGGNG